RNAcentral lists this small nuclear RNA (117 nucleotides) under Erinaceus europaeus (western European hedgehog). The record is from RNAcentral. Lineage: Eukaryota; Metazoa; Chordata; Mammalia; Eulipotyphla; Erinaceidae.
GUGCUUCUUUGAUAACACAUAUGUUAAAACUGGCACAAUAUAGGCGAGAUUAACAUCACAGGAGACUGGCCCCUGCACAAGGAUAACAUGCAAAUCUGUGGACUAGGACAUGGACAC